This 388-nucleotide long non-coding RNA is filed under the name Struthio camelus australis. Its description in RNAcentral is "lncRNA (ENSSCUG00000015659.1)". Lineage: Eukaryota; Metazoa; Chordata; Aves; Struthioniformes; Struthionidae. The record is from RNAcentral.
CUAUGAUGCUCUACGGAUAUAUGGAAGCAGAGUUUGCAGGAGAUUCUGCCCAUCGCUAUAAGUAAACUCAGCUUCCUGCUCCAUUCAUCAGUAGAAGGAACCAACAGAUUUCCUUGCUGUUCCCUGGCCAGGGUGGUGCCGUAGCUGUUGGCAGCGCUCCAGGCUCGCACCAGGCGCAGUGACUCGCAAUACCUUGUAAAAUAGGUUUGGCAGAGCACAGGAAAAUUGCUUACUGCCAUUUCCCUACCUCUGCUCCUGGCUGGAUAUGCGCAGGGAGCACAAGAUGGUGCUGCUCUCCAGAUACGCGUCAGCGCCCCGCUCGGGGCCUAGAGGACUCAAGCCAGAGCAAAUGAGCAGCAGAUUUUGCACCUGUAGUUUGCCAGCUUGA